This 596-nucleotide long non-coding RNA is filed under the name Panax ginseng (ginseng). RNAcentral describes it as "long non-coding RNA (PGIN_LNC017927)". The record is from RNAcentral. Lineage: Eukaryota; Viridiplantae; Streptophyta; Magnoliopsida; Apiales; Araliaceae.
AGAAAAUUGAAUCAGCUGUGGUAAGCACUUCACAGCGUCCUUCUUUUUUUGUGCUUUUUCGAUGUGAAAUAUUUCACUUAAUGAGUUUAUAUGUAUACUUAGUUUUAAAAAUGCUAGAAUCGGGACAUGCAAAAAAAUUUCACUGCCCUCUUUUGAACUAGCCUUUCUGUUCAUAGGAAUUCGACAAGUCUUUGUUUUCUUACAGCAAAAUGGUGCCUUCUGCAGUUAAGAAAGUAACUGAAAACAAAGGGUCAAGCUGGCCACCAUCUUUCAUGCAAUCGGACAGCAAAUCACAUCGGUUGAUCUUAUCGAUGGAUUGAGCUAUGCCAUGGUGCAUACACGCUCAGUUUUUGCUGAAUUGAACAUAAUCGAGUUUAGCAAACCAAAUGCUUGAUGAAAUGUUCCGAAGCAUUUUAGUAUAUUUUUUUUCUGCCGUCUUAUAUGCAUAUUUAGACGCCCAGGCGGAAGUGGAGGUUUGAAUCUCAUAUGUGAAAUGCAUCAGGCCUGAGCCAGACUCCGGUAAACAAUCAAAUAGUAAGAUCAAAGCUUACUUGAAGCUAAUAUCUCAGCUUGUUUAGGCCUUCAGUAUAUACACG